RNAcentral lists this ribosomal RNA (484 nucleotides) under uncultured bacterium. RNAcentral's name for it is "partial 16S ribosomal RNA". It matches the Rfam family "Bacterial small subunit ribosomal RNA", at positions 28 to 523 of the family's 1533-position model. The record is from RNAcentral.
GACGAACUCUGGCGGCGUGCUUAACACAUGCAAGUCGAACGAUGAAGCCGGAGCUUGCUCUGGUGAAUUAGUGGCGAACGGGUGAGUAACACGUUAGUAACCUGCCCUUGACUCUGGGAUAACUGCGGGAAACUGUAGCUAAUACCGGAUACGACCCUCGGAGGCAUCUCCUGGGGGUGGAAAGAAUUUCGGUCAAGGAUGGACUCGCGGCCUAUCAGCUAGUUGGUGAGGUAAAGGCUCACCAAGGCGACGACGGGUAGCCGGCCUGAGAGGGUGAACGGCCACACUGGGACUGAGACACGGCCCAGACUCCUACGGGAGGCAGCAGUGGGGAAUAUCGCACAAUGGGCGCAAGCCUGUUGCAGCAACGCCGCGUGAGGGAUGACGGCCUUCGGGUUGUAAACCUCUUUUAGCAGGGAAGAAGCGAAAGUGACGGUACCUGCAGAAAAAGCACCGGCUAACUACGUGCCAGCCGCCGCCGUAA